AGUUGACUUUAUCAGACUAAUUUAGUGGAUGUUGAACCUGUUUACUAUUUUUAUGCAUAGAGAUAGGCUUUGUUAAUUUCAUUAUCCUCUGCUGCAAUCUAGGCUUUCAGAACAAAGGAGAAAGAAACUCCAAGCAAAGGAGGCUGAAUUGAGGAGGAGGGAGCAGGAUGUUUACAUGUACUUCCGUGGCAGUGGCAAAGCAGCAGAGAUGAAGCGUGAGGCUGCAAAACGGACAAUGAUGGCUGCGCUGCCAUGAUUCA
Molecule: long non-coding RNA, 260 nt
Organism: Camellia sinensis
Lineage: Eukaryota; Viridiplantae; Streptophyta; Magnoliopsida; Ericales; Theaceae
Source: RefSeq, a predicted model, not a curated record